GGCCUGACUGUCCUGUCAACUGUCUCUUUGGUUCCUAUCUUAUCUACCUGCCAAGACCCUACUCUCUCCUGUGAAUCUCUUUUCUUCGUCAGACACCUUGCAUCACAGAUAGUUGGAGAUGAAAAGGACCUUAGAAACCAUGAGAAACACCAUGGGCCAGGAGAAUGGGGAGCUCUGGAGCCAUAAACCUGGCUUCAGGUCCCAGUUCUGCCACUCACCAGCUGGGUGGCCAAGGGACGUUCUCCAAUAAGCGUUCAUUCUGUGCCCCCAGCACCCACUUUCCCUGUCCGGACCUUCCUGCAGAUGCAUUUUUGAGACCACUCAGGUUCCUGGGUCACUGAUGAGCGUCCCUGCGGGCCUCCCACCAUCCUCCACUUGGUGGCUGACUCCAGC
RNAcentral lists this long non-coding RNA (393 nucleotides) under Gorilla gorilla gorilla (western lowland gorilla). RNAcentral's name for it is "lncRNA (ENSGGOG00000044490.1)". The record is from RNAcentral. Lineage: Eukaryota; Metazoa; Chordata; Mammalia; Primates; Hominidae.